GGUGAACGCUAGCGGUGCGCCUAACACAUGCAAGUCGAGCGGUAGAAUUAUUUUAGCUUGCUAAAAUAAUUUGAGAGCGGCGAACGGGUGAGUAACACGUUGGAAUCUGCCCCCAAGUCAGGGAUAGCCAUUGGAAACGAUGAUUAAUACCGGAUGUGCUCUUCGGAGUAAAGAUUUAUCGCUUGGGGAGGAUCCUGCGUACUAUCAGCUAGUUGGUGAGGUAAUAGCUCACCAAGGCUAUGACGGUUAACUGGUCUGAGAGGAUGAUCAGUCACAAUGAAACUGAGACACGGUUCAUACUCCUACGGGAGGCAGCAGUGAGGAAUCUUCCACAAUGGACGAAAGUCUGAUGGAGCGACACCGCGUGAAGGAUGACGGUCUAACGAUUGUAAACUUCUUUUUUCUGAAGGAGCAUAAUGAGAGUACUUCAGGAAUAAGGGACGGCUAAAUACGUGCCAGC
Molecule: ribosomal RNA, 460 nt
Filed under: uncultured bacterium
Lineage: Bacteria
Description: bacterial SSU rRNA
Rfam family: Bacterial small subunit ribosomal RNA
Source: RNAcentral